This 388-nucleotide ribosomal RNA is filed under the name uncultured bacterium. RNAcentral describes it as "bacterial SSU rRNA". It matches the Rfam family "Bacterial small subunit ribosomal RNA", at positions 29 to 417 of the family's 1533-position model. The record is from RNAcentral.
AUUGAACGCUGGCGGCGUGCCUAACACAUGCAAGUCGAGCGGUAACAGGUGUAGCAAUACAUGCUGACGAGCGGCGGACGGGUGAGUAACGCUUGGGAAUCUGCCUGUUAGUGGGGGACAACCCGGGGAAACUCGGGCUAAUACCGCAUACGCACUACGGUGGAAAGCCGGGGACCGCAAGGCCUGGCGCUAACAGAUGAGCCCAAGUCGGAUUAGCUAGUUGGUAGGGAACGGCCUACCAAGGCGACGAUCCGUAACUGGUCUGAGAGGACGACCAGUCACACCGGAACUGAGACACGGUCCGGACUCCUACGGGAGGCAGCAGUGGGGAAUAUUGGACAAUGGGCGAAAGCCUGAUCCAGCGACGCCGCGUGAAGGAUGAAAUCCC